This 253-nucleotide ribosomal RNA is filed under the name uncultured bacterium. Its description in RNAcentral is "partial 16S ribosomal RNA". It matches the Rfam family "Bacterial small subunit ribosomal RNA", at positions 524 to 776 of the family's 1533-position model. The record is from RNAcentral.
UACGGAGGGUGCAAGCGUUGUUCGGAAUUACUGGGCGUAAAGCACGCGUAGGCGGCUUGGUAAGUUGGAAGUGAAAUCCCGGGGCUUAACCUCGGAACUGCUUUCAAAACUAUCAAGCUAGAGUAUGGCAGGGGACAGUGGAAUUCCUAGUGUAGAGGUGAAAUUCGUAGAUAUUAGGAGGAACACCAGUGGCGAAAGCGACUGUCUGGACCAUUACUGACGCUGAGGCGUGAAAGCGUGGGGAGCAAACAGG